RNAcentral lists this ribosomal RNA (536 nucleotides) under uncultured Chloroflexota bacterium. RNAcentral's name for it is "bacterial SSU rRNA". It matches the Rfam family "Bacterial small subunit ribosomal RNA", at positions 234 to 795 of the family's 1533-position model. Lineage: Bacteria; Bacillati; Chloroflexota. The record is from RNAcentral.
CGGCCUAUCAGCUUGUUGGUGGGGUAACGGCCUACCAAGGCAUCGACGGUAGCUGUCUGAGAGGACGAUCACCACACUGGACUGAGACACGGCCCCACUCCUACGGAGGCAGCAGCAGGAAUCUUGCGCAAUGGCGAAAGCCUGCGCAGCGACACCGCGUGGGGGAAGAAGGCUCUAGGGUCGUAAACCCCUUUUCUCAGGGAGGAGAAUGGACAGUACCUGAGGAAUAAGGUACGGCUAACUACGUGCCAGCAGCCGCGGUAAUACGUAGGUACCGAGCGUUGUCCGAAUUUACUGGGCGUAAAGGGCGCGUAGGCGGCCCGUUAAGUCUUAUGUGAAAUCUCCCGGCUCAACUGGGAGGGGACAUGGGAAACUGGCAGGCUCGAGGGCAGUAGAGGGAAGCGGAAUUCCCGGAGUAGUGGUGGAAUGCGUAGAUACCGGGAGGAACACCAGAGGCGAAAGCGGCUUCCUGGGCUGUCCCUGACGCUGAGGCGCGAAAGCGUGGGGAGCAAACCGGAUUAGAUACCCUGGUAGUC